AGAUUGAACGCUGGCGGAAUGCUUUACACAUGCAAGUCGAACGGCAGCACGGGGGCAACCCUGGUGGCGAGUGGCGAACGGGUGAGUAAUACAUCGGAACGUGCCCAGUCGUGGGGGAUAACUACGCGAAAGCGUAGCUAAUACCGCAUACGAUCUACGGAUGAAAGCGGGGAUCGCAAGACCUCGCGCGAUUGGAGCGGCCGAUGGCAGAUUAGGAGUUGGUGGGGUAAAGGCUCACCAAGCCGUCGAUCUGUAGCUGGUCUGAGAGGACGACCAGCCACACUGGGACUGAGACACGGCCCAGACUCCUACGGGAGGCAGCAGUGGGAAUCUUGCGCAAUGGGCGAAAGCCUGACGCAGCGACGCCGCGUGGGGAAGAAGGCCUUCGGUUGUAAACCUCUUUCAGCAGGACGAAGCCACUCGGUUAAUAGCCCAGAGGUGACGGUACCUGCAGAAGAAGCCCGGCUAACUACGUGCCAGCAGCCG
This 486-nucleotide ribosomal RNA is filed under the name uncultured soil bacterium. RNAcentral describes it as "bacterial SSU rRNA". It matches the Rfam family "Bacterial small subunit ribosomal RNA", at positions 26 to 517 of the family's 1533-position model. The record is from RNAcentral.